Molecule: long non-coding RNA, 1724 nt
Organism: Pteropus alecto (black flying fox)
Lineage: Eukaryota; Metazoa; Chordata; Mammalia; Chiroptera; Pteropodidae
Exons: 3
Source: RefSeq, a predicted model, not a curated record
CUUUACGUAGGACCCAGCGCCGGUGCCGCCAUCUCUUCUUUGGGCAACGUCAAAUUAGGACGCAAAUAAAACCAAUGAAAAAGCGAAACGGAGACAUAGAGACAACGAAUUUAUAUUGGAUCAUACUCCAUUAUAUAGAAAGCAACCCAAAACCUGGAGAGAUGAAGGGACUUACUCAAGGUCAUAGCUUUCCGCCAAGUUGCCUAAGAACAACAGUUGACUAGAACUGCACGUCUUCAAAUACUGUCUACUGCAGGAUGGAAACAGGAACCUCUGGGAAUAUCUGUGAGUCAUAGAAUGUUGUAAAGAACUUUCCAAAGACAUUUUCUUGCUAGGAUGGAGAGUUCUAAUCUCAUAUUGGCAGGCUCAAUUGGCAACAAGGUAUACUGUUUACUUUGAUUCCUUCUCAGCUGUCUUGCAUGAGCUUGGCUCAUCAAGUUUUUGAUAUAUUGGGGCAGAAGAGUUGCAUAAUAUGACAAAAUUGUAACCCUUUCUCUUAUUCUGCUCUCGUAAGAUAGAUAAAAAUCAUGAUCCUAAUCUAUGCUUCCUCCGUAUAUUUAAUUCAGUUGUCUUUGAAGGAACUAGUUUGUAUUACUCCCACAAUUUUGAAAGCUUAUAGUACUGGUAAUUGAAGACAUAUGUUUUCAAAUUAUUAAAAAAGGAUGUCAAAAAACACUCAUAAUGCUUCUAAAAAGGGGUAUUUCCAAAUGUGUGUAUGCAUAUGUGCUCUGGGGUCUUUUAAUUUAGUUUACAUAUUAGUGCUUGCAUUUGGCAAAAUAUGGACACCAAUGAAUAUCUUACAAACAUGGUAAUGGAUGGACCAAAAAGUAGGCCAGAAAAAAAUGAGUACUUAAUCCUUUGCUCAUAAAUUCAUCCUGAAACUAAAUUCUUUGAUAUUUGAUGAAGUCCAGAUACUUUUUAAAUUGAUUUAGUGUUCACAGGUUUUUUUGUUUAAUUUUUAAAAUUGAGGUAUACUUAACAUACCUUAAGUGUAUAGUUUAAAAGAUUUUGACUAUUGUACAUACCUGUGUAAUCACCAACCAAAUCAAUAUAUAGAACAUUGCAUCACCUGGAAAGCUCCCCUGUACCCCUUUCUAGUCAUUCUCCUGCCUUUUCAACACCAGGAAUAACAUAGAUUAGUCUUGCAUAUUCUUGGACUUCAUAUAAAUCGAAUUAUACAGUAUGUACUUUUUUGGGUUUGGCUUCUUUGACCCAACAUGAUUUUAAGAUUCAUCUGUAUUGUUGUGUGUAUCAGUUCAUUCCUUUUAAAUGCUGAGUAGUAUUCCAUCCUAUGCAUACACCACUACUUGUCUUUUUAUUCUCAGAGCUGGACAUUUGCCUUGUUUUUAGUUUGGGCUAUUAUAAAUAAGGGUGCUAAAACAUUUUUGUGAAAGUCAUUGUAUGGAUGUAUAUUUUUAUAUUUCUUGUGUAAACACCUAGGAGAGGGACUGCUGUGUCACAGGACUGUGUAAGAAAUUGUCAAACAGUUUUUCACAGGGUUGUAUGAUUUUACAAUCUUAACCAGCAAUGCAUGGAGUUCCAUUUAUUCCACAUCUUUGCCACUCGAGUGAGAUUGAAACAUUAUCACACUGUGGUUUUAUUUUCAUGUCUCUGAUUGCUAAUGAUUUUGAGGAACAUUUUGUAUGUUGAUUGGCCAUUUCUAUAUCUUCCCUUUUGAAGUGUUCCUUCAGUUCUUUUACCCAUUAAAACAUUUUUUGUCUUUA